ACGAACGCUGGCGGCGUGCCUAAUACAUGCAAGUAGAACGCUGAAGAGAGGAGCUUGCUCUUCUUGGAUGAGUUGCGAACGGGUGAGUAACGCGUAGGUAACCUGCCUUGUAGCGGGGGAUAACUAUUGGAAACGAUAGCUAAUACCGCAUAACAAUGGAUGACACAUGUCAUUUAUUUGAAAGGGGCAAUUGCUCCACUACAAGAUGGACCUGCGUUGUAUUAGCUAGUAGGUGAGGUAAUGGCUCACCUAGGCGACGAUACAUAGCCAACCUGAGAGGGUGAUCGGCCACACUGGGACUGAGACACGGCCCAGACUCCUACGGGAGGCAGCAGUAGGGAAUCUUCGGCAAUGGGGGCAACCCUGACCGAGCAACGCCGCGUGAGUGAAGAAGGUUUUCGGAUCGUAAAGCUCUGUUGUAAGUCAAGAACGGGUGUGAGAGUGGAAAGUUCACACUGUGACGGUAGCUUACCAGAAAGGGACGGCUAACUACGUG
This 496-nucleotide ribosomal RNA is filed under the name uncultured bacterium. RNAcentral's name for it is "partial 16S ribosomal RNA". It matches the Rfam family "Bacterial small subunit ribosomal RNA", at positions 29 to 507 of the family's 1533-position model. The record is from RNAcentral.